GUGAAAUUGUUGAAAGGGAAACGAUUAAAGUCAGUCGUACCUACGAGUAAUCAACCUACUCGAGUGCGAUUUUGUGGGUAUGUUAGAGUUUAAACCUUCAUGCUUACAAAUUGGUGCUCUUUGGGCGUACUUUCUCGUAUGGUAGGUUAACAUCAAUUUUGGUGGUCAUAAAAUGACUGGAGGAAUGUAGCUUCGAUCUUGUAUUGAAGUGUUAUAGCCUUCGGUAGAUGUGAUGAUCGAGAUUGAGGAUUGCAACGGAUACCCUUCGGGGCUACCUGUCUGAUCUCUGAUCGUUGCUCUGGUGCCGAAAGCUUGCUUACGGUUAUCAAAGUCGAUGGUCAAUAGGUUAGAACGGGUUAAAUUCGUUAAGGAUGUUGACGUAAUGGCUUUAAACGAC
This 397-nucleotide ribosomal RNA is filed under the name uncultured Glomeraceae. Its description in RNAcentral is "eukaryotic LSU rRNA". The record is from RNAcentral. Lineage: Eukaryota; Fungi; Glomeromycota; Glomeromycetes; Glomerales; Glomeraceae.